CCUACGGGAGGCAGCAGUGAGGAAUAUUGGACAAUGGGCGCAAGCCUGAUCCAGCCAUGCCGCGUGCAGGAUGACGGUCCUAUGGAUUGUAAACUGCUUUUAUACGAGAAGAAACACCCCUACGUGUAGGGACUUGACGGUAUCGUAAGAAUAAGGAUCGGCUAACUCCGUGCCAGCAGCCGCGGUAAUACGGAGGAUCCAAGCGUUAUCCGGAAUCAUUGGGUUUAAAGGGUCCGUAGGCGGUUUAGUAAGUCAGUGGUGAAAUCUCCCCGCUCAACGGGGAAACGGCCAUUGAUACUGCUAGACUUGAAUUAUUAGGAAGUAACUAGAAUAUGUAGUGUAGCGGUGAAAUGCUUAGAGAUUACAUGGAAUACCAAUUGCGAAGGCAGGUUACUACUAAUGGAUUGACGCUGAUGGACGAAAGCGUGGGUAGCGAACAGGAUUAGAUACCCUGGUAGUCCACGCCGUAAACGAUGGAUACUAGCUGUGGUGUNAACUACAGUGNGUAGACGAAGUAGAUAAGUAAGUACCACCGUACGGGAGGUACGUUACGUCGAAGAAGUAGUAAACGUUAACGAAAGUAAAGUUAAGUUAGGACGUUGAGACGUGCCGACGGACGACGACGAGGGAGGAGGAG
This 637-nucleotide ribosomal RNA is filed under the name uncultured bacterium. RNAcentral describes it as "bacterial SSU rRNA". The stretch from base 1 to 534 matches the Rfam family "Bacterial small subunit ribosomal RNA", at positions 338 to 873 of the family's 1533-position model. The record is from RNAcentral.